This 301-nucleotide unclassified non-coding RNA is filed under the name Gorilla gorilla (western gorilla). RNAcentral describes it as "external transcribed spacer". The record is from RNAcentral. Lineage: Eukaryota; Metazoa; Chordata; Mammalia; Primates; Hominidae.
CGUCCGCGCGCGUGCGGGGGUCCCGGCGGGGCGUGCGCGUCCGGCGCCGUCCGUCCGUCCGUUCGUCUUCCUGCCUCCUCCCGUCCUCUCCCGCCGACCACGGGCGGUGGUGGGGGGGGGGCGCGCAUCCCCGGUCGGCGCGCCCCGCUUCUCCGGUUCCCCCCUCCUCCCCGUUCACCGCCGGGGCGGCUCGUCCGCUCCGGGCCGGGACGGGGCCCGGGGAGCGCGGGUGGGAACCGCGGAGGCGGCCGAGCCGGGCCCCGUGGCCUGCCGGCCCCCCGUCCCGGGGGGUGGCCGCGCG